CAGUCGCCACGGUAAUACGAAGGGGGCUAGCGUUGCUCGGAAUGACUGGGCGUAAAGGGCGCGUAGGCGGAUUGUUUAGUCAGGCGUGAAAUUCCCGGGCUUAACCUGGGAACUGCAUUUGUGACUGGCAAGCUAGGGUAUGGCAGAGGGGGGUGGAAUUCCGCGUGUAGCAGUGAAAUGCGUAAAUAUGCGGAGGAACACUGAUGGCGAAGGCAGCCCCUUGGGCCAAUACUGACGCUCACGCACGAAGGCGUGGGGAGCAAACAGGAUGAGAUACCCGCGUAGUCCCUGUCUCUUAUAA
Molecule: ribosomal RNA, 301 nt
Filed under: uncultured bacterium
Lineage: Bacteria
Description: partial 16S ribosomal RNA
Rfam family: Bacterial small subunit ribosomal RNA
Source: RNAcentral